Molecule: ribosomal RNA, 401 nt
Filed under: uncultured bacterium
Lineage: Bacteria
Description: bacterial SSU rRNA
Rfam family: Bacterial small subunit ribosomal RNA
Source: RNAcentral
CUGGCCUUGACAUCCAAUGAAUUUUCCAGAGAUGGAUUGGUGCCUUCGGGAACAUUGAGACAGGUGCUGCAUGGCUGUCGUCAGCUCGUGUUGUGAAAUGUUGGGUUAAGUCCCGCAACGAGCGCAACCCUUGUCCUUAGUUACCAGCACGUAAUGGUGGGCACUCAAAGGAGACUGCCGGUGACAAACCGGAGGAAGGUGGGGAUGACGUCAAGUCAUCAUGGCCCUUACGACUAGGGCUACACACGUGCUACAAUGGCAUAUACAAAGGGAAGCCAAGUCGCGAGAGCAAGCUAACCUCAUAAAACCGAUCGUAGUCCGGAUUGCAGUCUGCAACUCGACUGCGUGAAGUCGGAAUCGCUAGUAAUCGUGAAUCAGAAUGUUGCGGUGAAUACGUUCCC